GCUUCCAGGGGCUUUAACCAUAGAGAAAGAAUUCCUUUCUCUAUGCUUUAACCGCGAGCGAUUCAAAGGGCCGUGCUCAUGGCUCGCAAGCGUUCGCUCGCCGGUGCUCAUGGUUCUCUUCCCAAGUUCUAUCGAGUCUGCAUAGCGUGUGCACCGCUCGUGGCUCUUUUGGUUACGUUCAAGCCUUGACCAGCGCCUGCAGAUACGGUGCAGUUCCUUACGGGCACAUGUUGGAACGGAAAUAAAGAGUUCAACGGUGGCUAAGCAGCCAUAUUUUUCAACAGUUGUGUGCUCAUUAAUCAAACUUAAGUUAUUUUACUCUCACGAAACCACAAGGCCUGCUGCCUUCCGUUGUUUUUGUCUAGUCAAGCAAUUUUACUCUUUCACGGAACCACAAGGCCUGCUGGCUUCCAUUGUUUUUGUCUAGUCAAGAGCAAACUUCUGUGGGCAGCCAGUGAUAUCCAAGAGGGAAGGGACCUGGAUUGCUGUGGUUACUGCAGCUGCGUCUUAUUUUAUAUAUAUGGUCACCUUUUCUACUGUAUUUAAAAAUUAUGUAAAAUCAUUCUGCAUGUCCUUUAA
Dermacentor silvarum is the source of this 579-nucleotide long non-coding RNA. RefSeq lists it as uncharacterized. NCBI's taxonomy places the organism in Eukaryota, Metazoa, Arthropoda, Arachnida, Ixodida, Ixodidae. The transcript is spliced from 5 exons. The record is from RefSeq and is a predicted model, not a curated record.